RNAcentral lists this ribosomal RNA (516 nucleotides) under uncultured bacterium. RNAcentral's name for it is "bacterial SSU rRNA". It matches the Rfam family "Bacterial small subunit ribosomal RNA", at positions 29 to 518 of the family's 1533-position model. The record is from RNAcentral.
ACGAACGCUGGCGGCGUGCCUAAUACAUGCAAGUCGAACGGUCUUUCUAUGGAAGCUUGCUUCCACUGAGAAGAUAGUGGCGAACGGGUGAGUAACACGUGGGUAACCUGCCCAUAAGAGGGGGAUAACAUCCGGAAACGGGUGCUGAUACCGCAUAGUUUUCUUGAUUGCAUGAUUGAGAAAGGAAAGACGGCCUUUGUGCUGUCGCUUAUGGAUGGACCCGCGGCGUAUUAGUUAGUUGGUGAGGUAACGGCUCACCAAGACGAUGAUACGUAGCCGACCUGAGAGGGUGAUCGGCCACAUUGGGACUGAGACACGGCCCAAACUCCUACGGGAGGCAGCAGUAGGGAAUCUUCCGCAAUGGACGAAAGUCUGACGGAGCAACGCCGCGUGAGUGAAGAAAGGUUUUCGGAUCGUAAAACUCUGUUGUCAGAGAAGAACAAGUUGGAGAGUAACUGCUCCAGCCUUGACGGUAUCUGACCAGAAAGCCACGGCUAACUACGUGCCAGCCGCAGC